AAGAGUUCUGUGAAAGACCUGUGUUUGAAGAAGAAAUCAGCGGUGAGAACCAGUAUGUGGCAGAGGAAAAAGAUUUGGCUUCAAGCUUUAUAUGAAAGGUGAUACUUCACUGGAAUAUUUUAUCAUCAAAAGGAAGCCUUUUAAACAUACCAGACCUGUUGCUGUUAUGCUAAAACCCUAGCGUUCAAAGGAGAGAGGAAAGGCAUGUGGUUGGGAGGAAAACAGGGUUGUUUUCUGCAUGAAUACAAUAAAUGCUCUAUUCCACUUGUUUUAUUAGUGAAACCAACUUCACAGGAAUGUAAAAUACCGUGAAGAAGCCACAAAACCACUACAACUAUCCCUUUCUGAACUACCUUCAGGAACAUUGUUUUGAAACUCUUAGCAGUGACCAGCUGGCUUCAGUAUCUAAACACUCAAUUUGCCUUCUGGACUGCUCUGUCGUAUUCAUUAGGACCUGGCCCCAGGGAACAUGAAGUUUAUUUGUCACCUUUUGUCUGGACAGAUGUGAAUUACUAGUUGUAAGCUGAACAUGAAGAUGUUCUAGUGUCUCAACCUGUUACAGUAGCAUACCUCCAGCAACCAUCAGGAUCUUCUUGAUCUUGUCUGAGACACCAUGGCCAAGAGAAUGCCUAUUAAAAAUAAGAGUAAAACUCAGAAGAGAGAAGAACCUUCUUUAAAGUAAACUGAAACAAUCAAGCUGCUGCAGAGCCAGAGUGUAUUUUAGAAAUACUGAAAAAUCUUAGAAAUACUGAAAAAUCUUCCUCUUUCAAACAGCCUUUCCUCUAUACACAAAUAUUAGCCUUUCCUUUUACUUGAGGGACCCUUCCAAGCCACUAACUAAAGGGUUAAAAACAAACAAACCAACCCAAAACCCAUAACCUUAAGGAAAAGAAAAUAUCACAAGCAGACUUUACAACAGAAAUUACAUAUAUUCCUUAAAACAGAGUAAUGUUGUUCUCAAAGGCUCACUGAAGACAGGGUGAGUUUCUUAAUUAAUACUGAGUUAUUACCUUGAUUUCAUAAUGCAUGCUUUGUACUUCAUCUAUACAAACUUAUGUGAGAUCUCUGACUAAUUUGGCCAGCUAUAAUAGAUCAGUGAGAGAGAAUGACUGCUAGUUACAACAGAUCUUGAGAUGUGUGAGUACUUUUUAAAAAAGAAAGGUGUCUUGUGAAUGACUGAAUAUUUAUUUCUGCAAUUUCACCGACAAACUGAAGGAACAAGACUUCUUUGUCUGUGCUAGCAGCAAUGUGAUUUAUUCACAUGCCAGGGCUGCCUAUCUGUUGGCAGUAAAUGCGAUGUCAGGCAGCAUUAUUUAGUACUGCAAUAAAAGUCCAAAGAUUAAUAUCUU
Anas platyrhynchos (mallard) is the source of this 1349-nucleotide non-coding RNA. The record is from RefSeq and is a predicted model, not a curated record. NCBI's taxonomy places the organism in Eukaryota, Metazoa, Chordata, Aves, Anseriformes, Anatidae.